RNAcentral lists this long non-coding RNA (504 nucleotides) under Mustela putorius furo (domestic ferret). RNAcentral describes it as "lncRNA (ENSMPUG00000030590.1)". Lineage: Eukaryota; Metazoa; Chordata; Mammalia; Carnivora; Mustelidae. The record is from RNAcentral.
CUUUCUUCGAGCCUGGAGGAUUUAUGGAUUUAUGUUUCCUCCUUAAAACAAAUGACCCAAGCACUUUUUUUGGGGGGGGGCACUGACGCUAAUCAAUUACCUUUGUUACUAAAGAAAUAAAUAAUCUCUACAGAGUAAUAGAGUUAAAAUGCACUAGGAUCUAGUGUUUGGGGUUAUGUGAGACUUUUUGUUUGUUUGCUUUUGUCUCUCUACAGCUGCGCUUUGGCUAAUUUCUAGUUAUGGAGUAAUUUUUCCUUUUGCCACGAGUCCUGAUCCACAGGAGACAAGUCAGAAUGUCAGGGCCGGAAGGGACCUUGGAAAACUUAUUAUGAAUAUCUUGGUUGUUUUGAGCUACAUUAAGUCUUUAUUUCCCAUUCGCUUGCCCUCCUCAUUCAACUGGCUCAAUGUCACCGAUUCUCUUCUAGAAAAUGAACUGAUGCCAAAUACAUCAGAUUUCGUCAAGUCUGCUCUGUGAGUGUAUAUUGUAUCUUCUUUCAGUCUUUC